GGAAAGGCCCAGCUUGCUGGGUACUCGAGUGGCGAACGGGUGAGUAACACGUGGGUGAUCUGCCCCUGACUUUGGGAUAAGCCUGGGAAACUGGGUCUAAUACCGAAUAUUCAUUUUUCCUCGCAUGGGGAUUGGUGGAAAGCUUUUGCGGUUGGGGAUGGGCCCGCGGCCUAUCAGCUUGUUGGUGGGGUAAUGGCCUACCAAGGCGACGACGGGUAGCCGACCUGAGAGGGUGAUCGGCCACACUGGGACUGAGACACGGCCCAGACUCCUACGGGAGGCAGCAGUGGGGAAUAUUGCACAAUGGGCGCAAGCCUGAUGCAGCGACGCCGCGUGAGGGAUGACGGCCUUCGGGUUGUAAACCUCUUUCAGCUCCGACGAAGCGCAAGUGACGGUAGGAGCAGAAGAAGCACCGGCCAACUACGUGCCAGCAGCCGCGGUAAUACGUAGGGUGCAAGCGUUGUCCGGAAUUACUGGGCGUAAAGAGCUCGUAGGCGGUUUGUCGCGUCGUCUGUGAAAUUCUGCAGCUUAACUGCAGGCGUGCAGGCGAUACGGGCAGACUUGAGUACUACAGGGGAGACUGGAAUUCCUGGUGUAGCGGUGAAAUGCGCAGAUAUCAGGAGGAACACCGGUGGCGAAGGCGGGUCUCUGGGUAGUAACUGACGCUGAGGAGCGAAAGCGUGGGUAGCGAACAGGAUUAGAUACCCUGGUAGUCCACGCCGUAAACGGUGGGUACUAGGUGUGGGUUU
This 749-nucleotide ribosomal RNA is filed under the name Gordonia sp. (in: high G+C Gram-positive bacteria). RNAcentral's name for it is "bacterial SSU rRNA". It matches the Rfam family "Bacterial small subunit ribosomal RNA", at positions 68 to 829 of the family's 1533-position model. The record is from RNAcentral. Lineage: Bacteria; Bacillati; Actinomycetota; Actinomycetes; Mycobacteriales; Gordoniaceae.